GGAUUUAGGAAUUUUCCACAAAUGACAUUUAUAUUCUAAGAUUAAUUUGCUAGUGCAGUGCUUAUACUUCCCAGGUUUCUGUUUGCUUAUGUACCAGAAAAAUGUGCUCUGCUAGACUGACUGUAGCGAUUAGUUAAAUUACUCAUACAUCAAUUAUUAGAAAGGGAAAAAAAAAAUCAGCCAAAAAACUCUUUUCCACUUUGAGCCUAUGUUUGUUUAUCACCACUUGAUGAUAACUUUCUGCUUGAAUGAUGGCUGCUAAUUUUGUUUAUGGCUCUUGAAUGUCAAUUGUGCACAUAGUUGUGAAACAAAAUGCGGACUGGUAGUUAUGGGUAUGUAUUGAUGCAUAUUUCCAUGACAGCUUAUUGAGAAAGCUGGAAUUAGGCUUUACCCUAGUUCCUGUGCCCAUGUUCUCCCACUGGGAAAGGCUGCUUUCAGUCUCCUGCUUUUGGAUGCUGGGGGACUGUUUUACCUCCUUUUCCACAAGGGGUUGGCAAAGUGCUCCGGAAUGGCUUAAAAUAACUUGCUUUGGAAGCUGCUGCAAAGGAUGAAAGGCAGUCGAGUCCAUCCGGCAUAGGCAUUUUCAGUUGGACCAUUUCUUCCACUAAAUAAAACGGAUAUAGUAUGCCCUCCUUAGAAUGAGGUAUAUAAAAAUGGAUACAUUUAAAUUCACUGAAACAGGAUAUCUGCAUCGUAAAGGAAACACUUGCGCUGUAUGCUUCCAUACAACAUCACACCUCUAGAUCACACUGAAUUUAAGGACAAACGCUUCUCUUCCCUGGGCUGCUUGCACCAAGCUGAUGGCUUUAAGCAUACCAACCUGGUCCCGUGGAGCUACUCAGGUCCAGAGUUAUGCAGCAGUGUCUUCAAGGCCACCCUUUGCAUACAGAUGUGAAUUCGUAUUGCAUUGCUGCUCUGUGCUGCAUCCCUGCAAGGGAGUCUGCUUGCUACUUGGAUGGCAGAUGCACAGAGCAUUCAGAAAUUAAACUAUAUUCCAAAAGGUCUGCUUCAAAACCCAGCAGCAAGGCUAAGGGCCUCAAUAUUGCCUGUAUUGUCUGAGGGAGAAUAGCCGAAGGAAAAUGUUCCCAACACUGAAAAGCAAAGAUGUGCUGGAGACCAACAACAGUAAUUGUAAGUAUACAGCAUAAACACAUGAACAUGACCCAAAUUCCAGAGUGGUGAGCCCUCCACCCAUCUGCCCACCCUCCCUCAGCCCAACGUCAGGCCAGGUGGCUAAAAACAGUAGUGAGCGGUCGCAUAGAGACGUUACUCCUUGCCAUGGGGAAAGCAGAUGCAUUUGCUUCAUGUUAAUGGCUCACAGAAAGAAAGCUUUCUAUAUUAUUUCGCCCCUCAAAAUACAGCUUGGAGAAAGCCACAGCUUUUGUGGCUUCACAUAAUGCAUGUGAAUGUCAGGUCUGGUUGCUGAAGAGCAUGCAGUUAAGUAGUACUUGAGGAAACCAAGCCACGGAAGUUGUUGGGGUUUUGGGGGGCUUUUGUUUUGAACAACAAGCUUUUAAAUGUUGGUUAACUUCUUAUAAAGCGGCUCCAAGUCAUUUCCUGCUCCUCUGAAUGGGAAAGCCUCAGGAUUCACUGAGGAAUGAAAAUGGUUGAUAUUUCUUUGUAUUCCCUUUCAUCCCUUUUAUUCAAAAGUGAAAGAAUUAAAAUAAGUUUUUGUAGUAGAAGAACAUGGAUUCAGUGCUGUUUUUCUACAGAUGCAUUGUCCUACAAAGGCUCUGCAGUGUGCAGGGUUAGGCCUGGAAGCAGCAGCUCUCUCAUGAGAGCAUCCACAAGCAGCUCAUGAAAAAGAAUGAUCCUUUCCCCUGCACUGUGCAGCCCCCAAAUCUGAUUUUGCUCUGCUGGCCUUAGGGGCUGUUUGGCAGCCCCUGGGACCAUGCAAGGGUUCUGUGGAAGAGACAGAUUUAUGCUGUAUGGAGGAGUCCCAGCAUGUGCACAGAGGAGGCUGAGCCCUUGGACAGAGCAGGGCUACAAGGAAGCAUCUUUUCUGGAUUUCUUAUAUUCUCCCACCCAGCAGGAACCCGACCCUGUGACUCCUGGGGAAAAGUGAUAUUAAAAGAUGUCAUUUCCCUUUUGGGAACUUAGUUUUGACUCUGCCCAUAAAUGGCAAGAUUCUGAAUCAAAGCUCUUCCCACAGGGAACCAAAGAGUUCAGGGUAUUUGUCUAUGUCCUUGUCACUAAUAAAACCAAAUUGACUUUUAAAAAUAGCUCUUGU
Molecule: long non-coding RNA, 2230 nt
Organism: Phasianus colchicus (ring-necked pheasant)
Lineage: Eukaryota; Metazoa; Chordata; Aves; Galliformes; Phasianidae
Source: Ensembl